Molecule: non-coding RNA, 1693 nt
Organism: Nothobranchius furzeri (turquoise killifish)
Lineage: Eukaryota; Metazoa; Chordata; Actinopteri; Cyprinodontiformes; Nothobranchiidae
Source: RefSeq, a predicted model, not a curated record
GUCACGGUAUGAAAAUUUAAAGAGCAAGUAACGUCUAAAUUAACUUUUUUUUGCUGAUGAACUGUAUAAAUGAGUGUCUAAUAGUGUUUUAAAUGUGUGCAUUCUUUAUUUUAGCAUUUUGGUGCAUUUUCUUUAAAAAUUAAAAAUUCUGUCUAAAAACCACAGUAAUGCGCCACCUUCAGCUGAAAACAUAGAAUUUGAGUCAUUUUGAAUAAAUUUUAGCCAAUGGCUAAAGAGUAAAGUACUACGUAAACCAGUAGAGUACUACGUAGCAGCUCCGUGCCAAAGUUAUAAAAGCAACGAGCGUCUCGGCCACGCCCUGUGGCGAGUGGGAGUUGGAUUUGCAAGCGAGUGUAGGAGGUCAGCGGUAGUUCAGCAUUAGCAUAUAGCAUUAGCAUAUCCUAGUCUUUAGCAUAUCUUUUAGUGUUAUAAAUACUUAUUUAGUGUUAGCUUGGCUGUUGUAUAUUAUAGUUUAGUUAGUGUUUGGCUGUUAGUGUAAUUGGGAAAGUAUUUCGGGUUUAGUGCUCCAUAUCGUCUUAGUAUUGGUGAGUAGGUGUAGUGUAGUAUGGUUGCGGUGACUCUGUGGGCAUUUUACCCGCGAUUCUGCACGUCUCCGUUUGAAGAGGGAGGCUGUGCCCACCGUGGCUCUUCCGCGAUUUAGAUGCAGCCCACCGACUCUGCUUCCCCACCACGGCGGGCUCCAGUCUGAGGUGAGUCAGCUAAAUAAACGUUUUAACAUCUUCUAAAGACAAUUCCCUACCUAAAUGCAAAGUCUGAGAGACGUGGUUCACUUCCUUUAGCUAGUCAGUCGGCAAUUCUGCAACAGUGACUAACUGACGCAGCACUUGACAGACAGCAUUACAGCGUGAAAUCCAGCUUGUGACCCGGUUCUGUGAGGAAUUCUGUUCAGGAGGUCGCAUUUCAGGCUCUCCACAUCAUAUGUGACUGACUUUUACGUUAUAACAACGAUCACACACUAGGAAUGUUAUAAAGCGCCUAUAUAGGAGAUUCUUUUGUAUAUUAUCUGACUAUAAACUCCAACAAUGUGCUUCUAUUUUUUUUUUCAGGCUAAAUCUACCCAAGACACUGGCUGUCAGACUGAUUUAGCUGCAUGAAUGUACUUGUCCAGGCUGAUGUGAAACCUUCCCUGUAGCAAAGCCAGCCAGAAUGGAGUUCACAGCCGCAGUGUGUCUGGUGACCCACGGGGACCAUGAUGAAAAUUCAUCUUCCAGAAGGUCCCAGAGCGUCCAGACCCCCUGAAAAGACCAAGGUGUGAGGUGUCUGCUGUUGAUUCCAGCUUCCACCUCAGUGACAGUGCAAGCUCAGUGAACUGUUCAAGGACAUUCAGCAAAAUAUGGACUCUACACCAUGAGGCAUGCACACAUUAAUAUUCUAUAAGAGCACAUAAGGUGAGCAACACCACAUAUUGUACACUGUCCUGAAUUUGUUUUCUUUCUGCAUCUCAUUAGCCUGGCUGAUCACCUGAUAACUCCUGUCAUCUGGUUAUGACAGCAUGAGGAUGUCCUCACACACCUGUAACCUAUCAGCUCAUCUGGCAGAAUAGAGAGAUAAGAGACAACACCACAUCUCCUGUUCCUGGAAAGCCUUCAGCCUUCCUUCGAUGACUGAGAACCUCCAUCAGCUCUGUCUCCUGUCUGCCUACAAUUAUUAUAAUAAAUAUUGUGUUUGACAA